This 403-nucleotide ribosomal RNA is filed under the name bacterium. RNAcentral's name for it is "partial 16S ribosomal RNA". It matches the Rfam family "Bacterial small subunit ribosomal RNA", at positions 355 to 776 of the family's 1533-position model. The record is from RNAcentral.
UGGGGAAUAUUGCACAAUGGGGGAAACCCUGAUGCAGCGACGCCGCGUGAACGAAGAAGGUAUUCGUAUCGUAAAGUUCUGUCCUAUGGGAAGAUAAUGACAGUACCAUAGAAGAAAGCUCCUGCUAAAUACGUGCCAGCAGCCGCGGUAAUACGUAUGGAGCGAGCGUUGUCCGGUAUUAUUGGGCGUAAAGGGUACGCAGGCGGUUUAAUAAGUCGAAUGUUAAAGAUCGGGGCUCAACCCCGCAAAGCAUUGGAAACUGAUAAACUUGAGUAGUGGAGAGGAAAGUAGAAUUCCUAGGGUAGUAGUGAAAUACGUAGAUAUUAGGAGGAAUACCAGUAGCGAAGGCGACUUUCUGGACACAAACUGACGCUGAGGUACGAAAGCGUGGGGAGCAAACAGG